This is a long non-coding RNA of Bos taurus (domestic cattle), 1014 nucleotides long. NCBI's taxonomy places the organism in Eukaryota, Metazoa, Chordata, Mammalia, Artiodactyla, Bovidae. The record is from Ensembl.
GCAAGAUUGGCAUCCGCCUAUGCCAAUUUGUAAAUACUUUUGGAAAUGCCCUUUGCCCAGGAGGCACUUGGCGAAACCUCUUGCUUACUGUGUGGCCAGCCAGCCGUAGGAGAGGUUGAAGCCCAGCUCGGCAGGCUUGUGCUGUGGAACCAGAGGAGGCAGCCUGAUUGGCCGGGCAGGCACGGUGCUGCGGGGCCCCUGGCCUGACCACCCAACAGGUCAGAGCCGUUAAAGCAGGGCAGGACCCGAGAGGGGGGACUGAGAUGCACGAUCGCUCACCCAUCCCCGCAAGGCUGAGGAUCUGCACAAACCUGCUGUCGGUGACGUUUUUCUUGAGAACAUUGGAGAAAUCUGAAUGUUGAAUGAGUGUUACAAAAGCCACAGCUUAGAACGCAAACUCCACCUGAGUUUGACCCGUGCUGAGUUGCUUCAGUUGUGUUCAACUCUUUGUGACCCUAUGCACUGUAGCCCACCAGGUUCCGCUGUCCAUGGGAUUUCCCAGGCAAGAAUACUGCGAAGGGCCGUAUCAUCCUGGGCCUCCCCUGGCAAGCUCACCUCUCACAAGGCUGUGGCUCAACUCCUCUGGGUCUUGUGUGCGGGGCAGCGAUGGUUACUUCUGCAGAAGUCUCUCCCUUCCCAACUCCUGAAUGGUCCUGCUCUGUCUCCUGUUGGGGCUGAAUCGGGACGCUCAGAAUCCUCGUGCUGAAGCCCUGCCACUCAGGGUUUUGGAGACAGGCUCUGUGAAGAGGUGGAAAGCAGGCUGUUAGGUGGCCCUGACCCCAUCUGACUGGUGUCCUUGGACAAGGAGGAGAUAAGGCCAAGGACAGGGCCUCUGGAGGAGCCACCCUGCUGACGCCUGGACCUGGGCCUUCCCGCCUCUGGAAUGUCUAUCGUGAGCCAUCGCCUGUGGUGUUUGGGUGCCGGCAGCCCCAGUGAAUGAACACGCCUGCUGACAGAAUGCCAUCUCUAAAGGGCGGAGGUUGUAUCUGAGGCUUAAAGGACACAACCGCAUGG